ACAGGAGAGUCCAAAGAAGUCACAUUUACAUGUAAAGAAUUCUGACUGGACAAAAAAAGAAGAUGCCACCCUGACUUUUCACGUUAAACCAUCUUUUACCUCUUCUCCAUGGUACAGCAUAUACUCAAUACCCCGAGGCUUGAUUCGUUCAGGCUUCUCAGAGUUAGAUCUGAUUUUGAUUUGGGUCACUUCUCCAAAAGCGAGAAGCCCUAAAGUAGAUCCCAAGGGCUCGUGGAUGCUGAUGUCAUCGGCAUGGACCACCAACCAGCAUCACGUGCUGCUCAGGCUCCUGCUGAACUUUCUGGUUGCUUGCAGUUUCAAGGAGGCAACAAGCGUGUGUCUCUGUGGCCUGCAACACCAGACUGUCUCUGUGUGACCAAAUCAAAUAAGUGCCAAUUCUACUGAGCCCUUGGGAAGAUGCGGCGGAGUCGGCCAAGUUUGGGAAUGACACGGACCUUGAGGCUGGGCUCACAAAGGCUUGGCGUGGUGAUUAAAGUACUGCAUGGUGUGCAACUUCAAACAAGUGUUUAUUUAGACACGAAGCCCACCGCAGCGCCCCUGAAAUAGUAUGUGUGCCAUUGUGAGUUAUUUUUCUCCUUUAGUCUGUGUCCUUACACCAGUGACCCACUCAUCGCUUCUAACCAGUGAAUUAAACAGAGCUACAGAAGGGGAGACUGCAGGGUCAUGAGACCCUGGCGUUCAGGCACUUCUUCCUAACCGAUUCCAGAUGUGUGGAUUGGCACGGCGUCAGCUCUGAGACAAUAACAAAUGGCCGUCCUUCCCCAGCUAACAGCAAGUGGCUACUGGUCCCAGCAGCAGGGACUGUGUGUUUUUAUUUCAGAGGCCUCACUUGGCUGGAGGCAUUGGCCCGUGCUGAAUGUUUACCUGGCAUGGACCUUAGAGAAGAUGGUGGAGGAAGGAAGCAAGAGAAGAUUGUCCCUGACUGUGGACCCUUACAAACGCCAACCACGCGCACGGGGCAGAAUCAAGUGACUGGGGCCACCAACAGGCUGUGAAAGGGCUCAGUAGGGACAGGCCUGCUUUCCCGAGAGGACCUCUGCGGCGGUUGGCUCUGGCCUGGUUCAAGUGGCAGUCAGUCUCCCUCUCCAAGGUGGGGGAAGCCUUGCACACCUUGGCACACGUGGCUCAAGGUUUUGAGGCCCGAUCAGCUGACCCUGGCUCCCACGCUGUGCUGGGUUCUCCCCAGGAAUUCAGUCUCCAUCUGUGUUCUCACUCAUCGAGCAACUUCUUUGGCGGUAAUCAUGGGGUGAGUCGGCACUGGAGGUGGGGAACUGGAAAAGACUCGGAUGGAUUUGCCUUAAGUGUGGCCAUCUUCAGAGCUAGGCUGCCAGGAUGGUACCACCGACCCUCCGCAGCCAACCGUGAGAUUCGGAGGGUCUGGCAGCGUGAGAAUCGUUUCCGUGCUCCGAGGAACACGGAAGUCCUGGUUUGUGGCUUUCCAGGAACAUCCCACAAACAGAAGACUCUGAAAUGUCACAGAAGGUCUACAUUCUGGGUCUUAAAAGGAAUAUCCAGUCCCAGCUGGCUUUGGUUUGCUGGUGAACAGGGCUUGUUUGCCCGAGUCUGUGAAUUCUGUGGGCUUGAACAGAAUACCUUGAAGGCUAUGAGCUGGGGUGGGUGUGGGACUUUGACAAAGGAAAAAGUCCACCUCGGGGCAGCAAGAACAGCUGAGUCUGUCAACCGAGUGACUGGACCUGACUUGCUAAGAACGAGCGAGUGUGAACGGACCAUCCUGCCCUCUCAUCCCCACUGAUGACUCUGCUCUUCUCUGGUAUGGGACAGCAGAUGCAGGCUCAGACAAGUCACAUCAUUACCACUCACCAUGACUGGCCCAGAGCCCCAGCCCGGGGAUCAGUGGGCAUACAUACACUCCCUUUGCAGGCCAAGUGCUCUAAGAUAAAUCCUGGUUUUGGAUCCACAUGAGACCAUCAUAUAUUGCCUCCUAAGGAGCAUGCCUUAGGAGCCAGCAGGUGGGAUUCUGCUAGCCCCUGUCUGACUGGCCUGGAUUUCAUGCAGUGUUGCCCAAAGCACAAGGGUUUCCAAGAGGCCCCUCCCUCUUAGCUUAGCAACACUUACUGCCUGCUAGUUGUGGCGUUGCAACUAGAAUGCCUAACACAAAACUUAUCAGAGGUUCUCUGUUUGCCAGGUACAUGCCAUUGUCUAGGAGGGCAAGGGAAUGGGUGACAUUAAGGUCAAGGCCGGUAAACAUUUAUCUCCACAGCUAACGGCAGGAAAAUUUCUGUUCUCAGAACCCAGCAUGCCCUCCACAUUUUAGUUUAGACAAUUCUUUCUCUAGGACACUCUUGUUGGUGGCCUUAACCUGGUAGGUAACUUUCUCUGGGCUUCUUCCGAUGGCCCUGCUGGUCUACUGUCACCAUGCCAACCAGCAGCAUUCCCGUUCUCCUUACUCGAUCAUCAGUUUGUCGAGGGUGGGAGAAACGCCCGCCUCAUUUAUUACCCCAUCCCCAGAAUUCAUCAUCAGCCCAUAAUUUGUCGAUGAAGCACCUGGCAUGACGGGCAUGCAAGGUCACUGUGGUCCUCCUUCCAGGGAGGCUUCUCGGAGGAGCCAUGCCUCUCAAGACUGUCUUUGAGAAAGUUUGAAGACAAAGGGAGACGUGGAGCCUAGCUGCAUCGUGUUCCCACUCCGCAUGAGAUUACCAUGGGAACAAAUGUGGGAACCAUUGCUCUUAGCAAAUGGGGGGAGUGCUCACUCAAAUGGACCCCCCCUCCCAUGCCAGGAAGGCUUCCAAGAUGCCAACUAUGCCAGUGAUUCUCACUAUUCAGCACAGCGGGCUGCAAGCCAGGCGGCUUCUUGGGAUAUCUCAUCUGAUCUUUCCAGCAACCUUGCUGAAAAGAGACGCUUGUCUUCACUUUUACAGAGGAGGGCUGAGCCUCAGAAAGGGCGGAGCUUGGCCAGCACUACACGGGGACUGAGCCAAGAGUCUUAGCUGGGGCUUUUCGGUUCAAAGCCAGUGAUCUUCAAUACAUUGCUUGUGACCUUCCUCAAAGAACCGACCCUCUUGUACAUUUAAAACGCUUAUAUACAAAGAUUCAUGUUGUAUAUUCAGGUAAUUGCCUAAAGUGCUAGAGCAUUCUAUUGAAUAUGUACAAACUUUACCUUUGGUCAAAAUUUAGUUCAUAUAAUUUUGAAAAAAAAUCUCUGCCCUA
This is a long non-coding RNA of Mesocricetus auratus (golden hamster), 3189 nucleotides long. RefSeq lists it as uncharacterized. NCBI's taxonomy places the organism in Eukaryota, Metazoa, Chordata, Mammalia, Rodentia, Cricetidae. The record is from RefSeq and is a predicted model, not a curated record. The transcript is spliced from 2 exons.